AACUUUGGCCCCCCCGGGCCAAUUUUCCUAGGGAAUUUCCCCCCCCCCCCUUCGGAAAUUUGGCCCCCUCGAAAACAUAGUUUACUUUAUUGCUAUAUAAGCUCGGAAAUCGUGAAGCUUCUUCUAAAACCAAGAUCCUAAAAGUGUUUGUCAGUAUUUAUAGUUAGUUUGCAUAAUUUAUUUGUGUCGAAAUUCUUCAUUGCGGCCAAGAGCUAAAAGUUUGAAGGAAAGCGUAAUAAUAAUAAUGUGUUAGUGCAGUAAUGCCAGACACAUCACGUAUCUGUUGAGGACAACGUUAAUGCAUAAUGCCUUAGCUUUAAGCUAAGGACACGAAACAAUUUUUAGAGAUAGGAAUUUCUAAGAUAUUACAAGACUCAGUUAUUUAGAUCUAUAAAAUUCAGUCACAUAGUAUAAAACUAGUCAGAAUAACAACCGCACUGAAACGAUGACAUCAUGCGUUGGCGAAUAUGUUAAUAUGCACGCGUUUAAUAAAUAACAGGGAGUAAUUUGCAUUAGGGUAAAAGUAGACUUUUAAGUGGAAACGUUUGUUUGACAAACAAAAUCAAAUGAGUGGUUAUUUCGUAAAAAAACCUUUUCCUAUGCAAUUUAUUUACAUAUACACAGUAUAUAUAAUCGCUCAUGAUCAUAUGGUUUGGAUGCAUUACAGAAGCAUUCCGUAAAAACGGAAGUAGACUGUAUGCUUGAUGGCUCACAAAAACAUUCCGCACACAGAAAAGCACAAAGGUUUGAAUAUCUAACAAAAUAUUCCGCAAACACAAAAGCACAAAGGUUUGGAUGACUCACAAAAACAUUCCGCAAACACGCAAAAAAACAAAGGUUACAUCCAGCUACAUAAAACCCGUCAGUGUUGUAAGCAAUUCUCUGGACCUAAUUCUCGUCAGUAUUGGAAUUCAGUGCAGAAUUUUGUUUUGACACAAAAAAAAUUACGCAAAGUAACUAUAAAUGCGGAGAAAAAUUUAUAGAAAUUUGGUUUUAGUAGAAGCUUCACGAUUUCCGAGCUAAAAGAUAAAGUAAACUAUAAUUUUUUAGAGGGGGCCAAAUUUCCGAAGAGGGGGCCAUA
This is a non-coding RNA of Paramuricea clavata, 1081 nucleotides long. The record is from the annotation of a GenBank genome assembly. NCBI's taxonomy places the organism in Eukaryota, Metazoa, Cnidaria, Anthozoa, Malacalcyonacea, Plexauridae.